UACGAAGGGGGCGAGCGUUGUUCGGAGUUACUGGGCGUAAAGGGCGCGUAGGCGGCGAUCCAAGUUAGGCGUGAAAGCCCCGGGCUUAACCUGGGAAUAGCGCUUAAGACUGGACUGCUUGAGUGCGGGAGAGGUGAGUGGAAUUCCCAGUGUAAAGGUGAAAUUCGUAGAUAUUGGGAAGAACACCAGUGGCGAAGGCGGCUCACUGGCCCGCAACUGACGCUGAGGCGCGAAAGCUAGGGGAGCGAACAGG
RNAcentral lists this ribosomal RNA (253 nucleotides) under uncultured bacterium. RNAcentral describes it as "partial 16S ribosomal RNA". It matches the Rfam family "Bacterial small subunit ribosomal RNA", at positions 524 to 776 of the family's 1533-position model. The record is from RNAcentral.